GCGCCCGUAGCGUAGCUUGGAAUCGCAGCGGACUUAUGAUCCGCCAAACGCGCCGUUCUGAUACAGCGGUGAUCGCAGGUUCAAAUCCUGCCGGGCGCA
RNAcentral lists this transfer RNA (99 nucleotides) under Euryarchaeota archaeon RBG_16_68_12. Its description in RNAcentral is "tRNA-Ile". It matches the Rfam family "tRNA". Rfam says of the family: Transfer RNA (tRNA) molecules are approximately 80 nucleotides in length. Their secondary structure includes four short double-helical elements and three loops (D, anti-codon, and T loops). Further hydrogen bonds mediate the characteristic L-shaped molecular structure. tRNAs have two regions of fundamental functional importance: the anti-codon, which is responsible for specific mRNA codon recognition, and the 3' end, to which the tRNAs corresponding amino acid is attached (by aminoacyl-tRNA synthetases). tRNAs cope with the degeneracy of the genetic code in two manners: having more than one tRNA (with a specific anti-codon) for a particular amino acid; and 'wobble' base-pairing, i.e. permitting non-standard base-pairing at the 3rd anti-codon position. The record is from RNAcentral. Lineage: Archaea; Methanobacteriati; Methanobacteriota.